This 765-nucleotide ribosomal RNA is filed under the name uncultured bacterium. RNAcentral's name for it is "bacterial SSU rRNA". It matches the Rfam family "Bacterial small subunit ribosomal RNA", at positions 86 to 848 of the family's 1533-position model. The record is from RNAcentral.
AGCUGACGAGUGGCGAACGGGUGAGUAAUGCAUCGGAACGUGCCCGAUCGUGGGGGAUAACGCAGCGAAAACUGCGCUAAUACCGCACACGAUCUGAGGAUGAAAGCGGGGGACCGUAAGACCUCGCGCGAUCGGAGCGGCCGAUGUCAGAUUAGGUAGUUGGUGGGGUAAAGGCUCACCAAGCCAACGAUCUGUAGCUGGUCUGAGAGGACGACCAGCCACACUGGGACUGAGACACGGCCCAGACUCCUACGGGAGGCAGCAGUGGGGAAUUUUGGACAAUGGGCGAAAGCCUGAUCCAGCAAUGCCGCGUGCAGGAAGAAGGCCUUCGGGUUGUAAACUGCUUUUGUACGGAGCGAAAAGGCCCUCUCUAAUACAGAGGGCUCAUGACGGUACCGUAAGAAUAAGCACCGGCUAACUACGUGCCAGCAGCCGCGGUAAUACGUAGGGUGCAAGCGUUAAUCGGAAUUACUGGGCGUAAAGCGUGCGCAGGCGGUUUUGUAAGACAGGCGUGAAAUCCCCGGGCUCAACCUGGGAAUGGCGCUUGUGACUGCAAAGCUGGAGUGCGGCAGAGGGGGAUGGAAUUCCGCGUGUAGCAGUGAAAUGCGUAGAUAUGCGGAGGAACACCGAUGGCGAAGGCAAUCCCCUGGGCCUGCACUGACGCUCAUGCACGAAAGCGUGGGGAGCAAACAGGAUUAGAUACCCUGGUAGUCCACGCCCUAAACGAUGUCAACUGGUUGUUGGGUAUUUACUUACUCAGUAACG